GAUUUCUGGUAUGAUGCGCAUGUCCCGGCUAGAAAUAGAUCGUGUGGCUUCGUGCGUCUACCAUCCUUCGCUACAGAUUUGUUGACAUGUUAAAGUGUCAGCUGCUGUUGCGAUCUUUUACUUUGAAAAAAUUAGAGUGUUUAAAGCAGGCUUUUGCCUUGAAUACAUUAGCAUGGAAUAAUAAUAUAGGACUGGGUUCCUAUUUUGUUGGUUUUCUGGAAUCGAGUAAUGAUUGAUAGGGAUAGUUGGGGGUGCUAGUAUUCAGCGGCCAGAGGUGAAAUUCUUUGAUUCGCUGAAGACUAACUUAUGCGAAAGCAUU
Molecule: ribosomal RNA, 319 nt
Filed under: uncultured Sarcomonadea
Lineage: Eukaryota; Cercozoa
Description: bacterial SSU rRNA
Rfam family: Eukaryotic small subunit ribosomal RNA (bases 98-319)
Source: RNAcentral